Molecule: ribosomal RNA, 1274 nt
Filed under: Streptomyces collinus
Lineage: Bacteria; Bacillati; Actinomycetota; Actinomycetes; Kitasatosporales; Streptomycetaceae
Description: bacterial SSU rRNA
Rfam family: Bacterial small subunit ribosomal RNA
Source: RNAcentral
GGAUAGUGGCGACGGGUGAGUAACACGUGGGCAAUCUGCCCUGCACUCUGGGACAAGCCCUGGAAACGGGGUCUAAUACCGGAUACUGACCCUCGCAGGCAUCUGCGAGGUUCGAAAGCUCCGGCGGUGCAGGAUGAGCCCGCGGCCUAUCAGCUUGUUGGUGAGGUAAUGGCUCACCAAGGCGACGACGGGUAGCCGGCCUGAGAGGGCGACCGGCCACACUGGGACUGAGACACGGCCCAGACUCCUACGGGAGGCAGCAGUGGGGAAUAUUGCACAAUGGGCGAAAGCCUGAUGCAGCGACGCCGCGUGAGGGAUGACGGCCUUUCGGGUUGUAAACCUCUUUCAGCAGGGAAGAAGCGAAAGUGACGGUACCUGCAGAAGAAGCGCCGGCUAACUACGUGCCAGCAGCCGCGGUAAUACGUAGGGCGCAAGCGUUGUCCGGAAUUAUUGGGCGUAAAGAGCUCGUAGGCGGCUUGUCGCGUCGGUUGUGAAAGCCCGGGGCUUAACCCCGGGUCUGCAGUCGAUACGGGCAGGCUAGAGUUCGGUAGGGGAGAUCGGAAUUCCUGGUGUAGCGGUGAAAUGCGCAGAUAUCAGGAGGAACACCGGUGGCGAAGGCGGAUCUCUGGGCCGAUACUGACGCUGAGGAGCGAAAGCGUGGGGAGCGAACAGGAUUAGAUACCCUGGUAGUCCACGCCGUAAACGGUGGGCACUAGGUGUGGGCAACAUUCCACGUUGUCCGUGCCGCAGCUAACGCAUUAAGUGCCCCGCCUGGGGAGUACGGCCGCAAGGCUAAAACUCAAAGGAAUUGACGGGGGGCCCGCACAAGCGGCGGAGCAUGUGGCUUAAUUCGACGCAACGGCGAAGAACCUUACCAAGGGCUUGACAUACACCGGAAACCAUCACAGAUGGGCGCCCCCCUUGUGGUCGGUGUACAGGUGGUGCAUGGCUGUCGUCAGCUCGUGUCGUGAGAUGUUGGGUUAAGUCCCGCAACGAGCGCAACCCUUGUCCCGUGUUGCCAGCAGGCCCUUGUGGUGCUGGGGACUCACGGGAGACCGCCGGGGUCAACUCGGAGGAAGGUGGGGACGACGUCAAGUCAUCAUGCCCCUUAUGUCUUGGGCUGCACACGUGCUACAAUGGCCGGUACAAUGAGCUGCGAUACCGCAAGGUGGAGCGAAUCUCAAAAAGCCGGUCUCAGUUCGGAUUGGGGUCUGCAACUCGACCCCAUGAAGUCGGAGUCGCUAGUAAUCGCAGAUCAGCAUGCUGCGUGCCAG